CCCUUAGAUGUCCUGGGCCGCACGCGCGCUACACUGAUGCAUGCAACGAGUUUAUAACCUUGGCCUGAAAGGUCUGGGUAAUCUUUUGAACGUGCAUCGUGAUAGGGAUAGGUUAUUGCAAUUGUUAAUCUUGAACGAGGAAUUCCUAGUAAACGCGAGUCAUCAGCUCGCAUUGAUUACGUCCCUGCCCUUUGUACACACCGCCCGUCGCACCUACCGAUUGAAUGGUUCGGUGAAGAUCUCGGACUUCGAUAUUUAUUCUUUAUUGAGUUUAUAUUGUGGGAAGUUAUCUAAACCUCAUCAUUUAGAGGAAGGUGAAGUCGUAACA
This 328-nucleotide ribosomal RNA is filed under the name uncultured eukaryote. RNAcentral's name for it is "partial 18S ribosomal RNA". It matches the Rfam family "Eukaryotic small subunit ribosomal RNA", at positions 1470 to 1796 of the family's 1831-position model. The record is from RNAcentral.